This 404-nucleotide ribosomal RNA is filed under the name Clostridioides difficile. RNAcentral's name for it is "bacterial LSU rRNA". It matches the Rfam family "Bacterial large subunit ribosomal RNA", at positions 534 to 938 of the family's 2925-position model. Lineage: Bacteria; Bacillati; Bacillota; Clostridia; Peptostreptococcales; Peptostreptococcaceae. The record is from RNAcentral.
GGGAGUGAAAUAGAACCUGAAACCCUGCACUUACAAGCUGUGGAAGCACAUUUCUUGUGUGACCGCGUACUUUUUGUAGAACGGGCCAACGAGUUACGUUAAGUAGCAAGGUUAAGCACUUAAGGUGCGGAGCCGUAGCGAAAGCGAGUUUUAACUGAGCGUUCAGUUACUGGACGUAGACCCGAAACCGGGCGACCUACCCAUGAGCAGGAUGAAGCGAAAGUAAAAUUUCGUGGAGGUCCGAACCCACGAGCGUUGAAAAGCUCGGGGAUGACUUGUGGGUAGCGGUGAAAUUCCAAUCGAGCCCGGAGAUAGCUGGUUCUCCCCGAAAUAGCUUUAGGGCUAGCCUCAAGGUGAGAGAUACGGAGGUAGAGCACUGAAUGUCCUAGGGGGUAUUGCACCUA